GGUCGUCAGUCUAUUUGGCCACAUGGACGAUUCCUGAAAUUUUCUAGCAAUUUUCAAAAUAUGAGCACGACUGCGAUCAACAUCUAUAACUAACAAUCUCAAUUCGCAAGCACAAUCCACUACUGACGUUCAUGACUAACAACUCUGAUAUGCAGGCAUGACCUGUUGUCGACGCCCAUGUAACUACAUAGGUAUGACCUGC
Molecule: long non-coding RNA, 202 nt
Filed under: Elaeis guineensis (African oil palm)
Lineage: Eukaryota; Viridiplantae; Streptophyta; Magnoliopsida; Arecales; Arecaceae
Description: long non-coding RNA (EGUI_LNC028578)
Source: RNAcentral